This 209-nucleotide signal recognition particle RNA is filed under the name Listeria monocytogenes serotype 4b str. F2365. RNAcentral's name for it is "Bacterial large signal recognition particle RNA". It matches the Rfam family "Bacterial large signal recognition particle RNA", at positions 58 to 256 of the family's 256-position model. Rfam says of the family: The signal recognition particle (SRP) is a universally conserved ribonucleoprotein involved in the co-translational targeting of proteins to membranes. Archaeal SRP consists of a 7S RNA and homologues of the eukaryotic SRP19 and SRP54 proteins. The record is from Rfam by way of RNAcentral. Lineage: Bacteria; Bacillati; Bacillota; Bacilli; Caryophanales; Listeriaceae.
GAAUUCCUCAUUUGAGGCAUCGUAAUUGUUUGGUCUGCCCUUGACAAGUGGUGUUGAAGGUUGGGUCUUGCGCAAUGGGAACCUGUGAACCAUGUCAGGUCCGGAAGGAAGCAGCAUUAAGCAGUGCUUCUCAUGUGCCGCGAGGUCGCCUGGCCCGAGCUAACUAUCAGGGUAACGCAGAUGAUUGCAUGUCGAUGUGAGGUGCGCGA